Acanthosepion pharaonis is the source of this 111-nucleotide non-coding RNA. The record is from the annotation of a GenBank genome assembly. NCBI's taxonomy places the organism in Eukaryota, Metazoa, Mollusca, Cephalopoda, Sepiida, Sepiidae.
UACAGCCAUAUCAUGUUGAAACAUUAGUUCCCAUUAGAUCACUGUAGUUAAGCAACAUCGAGCCUAAUCAGUACCUAGAUGGGUAACUGCUUGAGAAUACCAGAUGCUGUG